AGUGAACGCUGGCGGCAGGCCUAACACAUGCAAGUCGAACGGCAACACAGUAAGAGCUUGCUCCUACGGGUGGCGAGUGGCGUAAUGCUGCGGAAUACGUCGGAAGCUACUGGUUCGUGGGGGGUAACGUAGGCUAACUUCCCCUAUGACCGCAUACGACAUACGGGUGAAAGCACGGGAUCUUCUGACCUUGCGCGAUUGAAUGAGCCGAUGUCGGAUUAGCUAGUUGGCGGGGUAAAGGCCCACCAAGGCGACGAUCUGUAGCUGGUCUGAGAGGAUGACCAGCCACACUGGAACUGAGACACGGUCCAGACUCCUACGGGAGGCAGCAGUGGGGAAUAUUGGACAAUGGGCGCAAGCCUGAUCCAGCCAUGCCGCGUGGGUGAAGAAGGCCUUCGGGUUGUAAAGCGCUUUUGUUGGGAAAGAAAAGCAGCAGGCUAAUACCCCGCUGUUCUGACGGUACCGAAAGAAUAAGCACCGGCUAACUACGUG
Molecule: ribosomal RNA, 492 nt
Filed under: uncultured bacterium
Lineage: Bacteria
Description: partial 16S ribosomal RNA
Rfam family: Bacterial small subunit ribosomal RNA
Source: RNAcentral